This 77-nucleotide microRNA precursor is filed under the name Cordylochernes scorpioides. The stretch from base 5 to 73 matches the Rfam family "mir-8/mir-141/mir-200 microRNA precursor family". Rfam says of the family: The bounds of the precursors are predicted based on conservation and base pairing and are not generally known. Lineage: Eukaryota; Metazoa; Arthropoda; Arachnida; Pseudoscorpiones; Chernetidae. The record is from RNAcentral.
AUUUGGAGUCAUCUUACCAGACAGCAUUAGAGUGUAAACUACUCCUUUAAUACUGUCAGGUAAAGAUGUGCCCAAAU